UGGCUUAGAAGCAGCCACCAUUGAAAGAGUGCGUAAUAGCUCACUGGUCGAGUGACCCCGCGCCGAAAAUGUACCGGGGCUAAACAUAUUACCGAAACUGUGGAUGAACCUCUUUAGAGGUUCGUGGUAGGAGAGCGUUCUAAGGGCGGUGAAGUCAGACCGGAAGGACUGGUGGAGCGCUUAGAAGUGAGAAUGCCGGUAUGAGUAGCGAAAGAAGGGUGAGAAUCCCUUCCACCGAAUAUCUAAGGUUUCCUGAGGAAGGCUCGUCCGCUCAGGGUUAGUCGGGACCUAAGCCGAGGCCGAUAGGCGUAGGCGAUGGACAACAGGUAGAGAUUCCUGUACCAGUGCUAAUUGUUUAACCGAUGGGGUGACACAGAAGGAUAGGGAAUCGCACGAAUGGAAAUGUGCGUCCAAGCAGUGAGUGUGAGAAGUAGGCAAAUCCGCUUCUCGCGAAGCAUGAGCUGUGAUGGGGAAGGAAAUUAAGUACGGAAGUUCCUGAUUUCACGCUGUCAAGAAAAGCCUCUAGGAAGAGUAGUACUGCCCGUACCGCAAACCGACACAGGUAGAUGAGGAGAGAAUCCUAAGGUGAGCGAGAGAACUCUCGUUAAGGAACUCGGCAAAAUGACCCCGUAACUUCGGGAGAAGGGGUGCUCUAUUAGGGUGCAAGCCCGAGAGAGCCGCAGUGAAUAGGCCCAGGCGACUGUUUAGCAAAAACACAGGUCUCUGCAAAACCGUAAGGUGACGUAUAGGGGCUGACGCCUGCCCGGUGCUGGAAGGUUAAGAGGA
This 786-nucleotide ribosomal RNA is filed under the name Listeria monocytogenes. RNAcentral describes it as "partial 23S ribosomal RNA". It matches the Rfam family "Bacterial large subunit ribosomal RNA", at positions 1102 to 1885 of the family's 2925-position model. Lineage: Bacteria; Bacillati; Bacillota; Bacilli; Caryophanales; Listeriaceae. The record is from RNAcentral.